Molecule: long non-coding RNA, 2275 nt
Organism: Gossypium raimondii (Peruvian cotton)
Lineage: Eukaryota; Viridiplantae; Streptophyta; Magnoliopsida; Malvales; Malvaceae
Exons: 8
Source: RefSeq, a predicted model, not a curated record
CUAGUAUUUUGUUUAUCCUGGUUUCACAUUAUCAGUAGCUAACCUGUUGGAUAUCACUUUUGUGUGUGUGUUUUUUUUUAAUUAUGUAGUGUUGUAAAAUUUUAACUACCAUCAAUGGCAAGCUCUACUAAGAUAUUACAUCGGUAGCUUUUCUAAAUUAUACGUUAUGCUGGAACUUGUGUAAUAAUUACCGGAGGUUUUUGCUCAAAAAAAAAAAAACCAACAAAAUGGGGACUGUCGCAGAUUUCCUGAUUUAGAAACUUGGGAUUUUAAUUACUAGUUAAAGACCUCGCUUCUUGGGAAGAAAUCUUCAAAAUCCAGUCUCUCAAAAGGAAGACAGAAGCUGGUAAGAAAGUACUGGUUAUCUUCAUACGAUGAAGAUUGGCAAUGCUGCAUAUUCUAGUUUUUGUUGGAUUACCAUAUGCAGAAUUUCGCAAUUAGGCUCACAGGGCAUUUGGAUCCCUCAAGGGCAUUACAAGGCAGCACUUAUUUGUGGUCACUUGGUUAGAACAAAGGCUAUUGCUACUUUAUGCUGUACAUGGGGAAUUGUUAAGUUCCCAAUACUAGCUCGUGGUCAAAAAGGUCAGGCGUGCAGAUAUUGUCAUUAUAGUUCAGGAAAAACAUCUAAGACUGCUACUGAUUUCAGCAGGGUUCUAAAAGCUUGGUUUCUUGCUGAGCGAGCAUAUCUUCUCGGCUGAAGAAUUUAUCAAAUAAUGCAUUUGUUCUGAAGUUCUUUCUUAGUGGCAAGCUUUGCCAAGGUCAGUCACAGCUUAGCUUGGCAUAGCCUAGCCUAGACAAUGCAAAAUGCAUAAAGUGAAGUUCCUGGAGUCCAAGUAGGGUGAAACUUUGCCAGGCCGACUGUAUACCCAUUUCCCAGGGCUGCUCCCGCAUAUCCUCCCAACCUGCCUCCAUUAUCGGGAAGCAUAUAGGUUUUCCAUAACAUUGCCCCAGUUCGUAGGGCUAGCUUUACAACGCUGCCUCUGAAAGUGCAGCAUUGCUCUGGUGGUAAUCCUUCCUCUAGAGAUGAAACUCCUACAUAGUAGGCCCUGCAAGCAAAUCAGAUCCUGUGAUCAGAACCCUGGGACGGGGAUCUAGUGUAGUAGACCAAACAAGUCUCCCAUUUGAUCGUGCAACAGCAAUCACUAUCGCUGGUCCAUAUAUCCCUACAAUCAACAGGUCCCCAUCAACUGUCGGGGUCGAUCUCGAGACCGUAACAUUUACAACAACUCCAGUGCCAGAUUGUCCAGUUAACUCGCUGAGAUUCUGUCUCCAUAUUAGAGCACCGUUGAAUGCAUUCACUGCAUACAAAUAUCCAUUCCAUGAUGGGAAGUAGACUACUCCAUUUGCAACAGCUGGAGUUGCUGAUAUGUCUUUGCCAGCAAAGAAUGACCAUCUUAAUGCUAAGUUCCUGACAGUUAGCGGGUUGAGAAGUAUUUCUCCAGCAGCAUACCUUCUGUUAGUUAAGUCACCUCCAUGAUUUAUCCACUGAGAAUCAUAUGGCAGAACUUUAUGUUACUAAUUAAACACUUUGUUUCAGGGCCGAAAUUUAUGAGAUAAUGAAUAAAGAUGAUGAUACAAAAAUGGAGCUUGAGAAAAAUGAUGAAACUUACAGCAGCAGCUGCACAAUCCAUGGUUGCAAAAGAACACAUAGCCACGAGAAGAAUGACUCCGAAGCCAUUACUGGGGAGUCUGGGUACGGGGCAUGGCAAGGAAACUAUUGAAUGUUAAACCAACAGGUGGGAUUAUCUGGGAUUCCCUGGUUCAAGGGAAUGUUUGAAGGUCGCAAUAGAAUCCCAGUUGAAUAGCACAGGUAUAGAUGAGGGGCUAAACCUGCGGCUGAACGACACCACCACUGAGGUCAGCUAUCUAGUGCUUCUCAACCUGUGGCGGAGUCCAACCUGAAGCCCUAACCUCCGAGCCCACACACUUCAUCGGUGACUACUUCUUUCCACCUGGAGUUGUGGGUUGACACGUUUGGGGAGAGUUCCUAAAGCUAUGCAUAUCACCCGGAUAUGGCCGAUUGCAGUUCAAAUUACCAGCAACCGCAAUCAUCAAUGAUGGUUGAUAUGUUUGGAUUGACACCCCUGUAUUCUGUGUACUCCACCUUGCCCGACCAAAGCUUCAACCCGGCAUACGAUUUUUCUGAUGUGUUGAAUACACCUUAAGGGUCGUACUGUUAGAGUAUGCCCAAAGAUCAAUCAUGAGAUGGUUGUAAUAACAUACUUGAUUUAUCAUGUUUAUUAAUAUAAGGCGUUACCAUUAUUAUUUCAGUUUA